UCUCUCUCUCUCUGUAUCUUUCUCUUUCUCUUUCUAUCUCUUUCUCUUUUAUUUUUGCACGCUCGACAAGUACCACCGAGACUUGUCAGUUGGGUCAGAACGCGGUCAAAACCGAUUCAAACUCAUUUUUCUUCUCGUUCGUUCAGCUCUCUCGCGCGAUUACCUCGCACGAAUAUAAUAUACAGGCCAUCGUUCGAACGAAAAACCGAAUACACGUGAAAUUUCAAGCGAACGAGGAAUUGCGAGGAUACGAAAUAAUGGCUGAUUAAUGGCGGUCUCGUGGACGAGGAGAAAAAAUGAGA
Molecule: long non-coding RNA, 302 nt
Organism: Vespula pensylvanica (western yellowjacket)
Lineage: Eukaryota; Metazoa; Arthropoda; Insecta; Hymenoptera; Vespidae
Exons: 2
Source: RefSeq, a predicted model, not a curated record